This 623-nucleotide long non-coding RNA is filed under the name Homo sapiens (human). RNAcentral's name for it is "HSALNT0305391". Lineage: Eukaryota; Metazoa; Chordata; Mammalia; Primates; Hominidae. The record is from RNAcentral.
CAAGUGGGACACAUCCUUGCCCUCUGCAGCUCUCAGUCACGCUGGGGAGACCAACAGGAAGCCAACUAUGGUGUGCUUCAAAACAGAAUGAAAUUGGAGAGGGGGAUCCAAGCAAAGGGUCCCGGCAGACAGAUGAAGAAGGUGGUUGUGGAAAGCUUCAUGGAGAGAGACCCUUGCCUGGCCCUGAAGAACUGCUGUAUUUAAAUGGAUACGAAAGUCAGGGCAAUGAAUGGGGGCUCAGACCAGGAGUUGGAUGGACCCAUUAUCAAUUCACAAAAGUUCAACUACAUUCGACUACUUCAAGGAGAAAAAUUAUGUAAAGCAAUAAUCACGAUUAUCAAGAGAAAAAAAUUGUGAAUUGUGAGCAACCUGGGGACAAAAACUCAAACUUGUUUUAUCUUCAGUUCCUGACACAGCAACUCAUAGGCAUUAAGAACUCAGUGAAUAUUGAAUGGAAGAACAAACCAAGAAAUGAAUGAAGGAGUGAGUGAACGAGUGACUAUAUUAAGCAUUAGUUAAUAAGAGAUGAGGAAAAGGAAGCUGUCAUUGAGUGUCCACUGUGUGUCAAAUUCUGUGCUAAUUGUUUAAAUCUAUUCAUCAAUAAAAAGAAAUUUCCCAUUUGA